AGAAGUUUUGAUGCCCCUACUGCUUAUGAAAUAGAAGUCAAUAAAACUAAAGCCAUACCAGAGAUAAGUUCUGAUCCAUGUGCAAAGGCAGCCAAAAAGUUUAAGCAGGAUGUUGCUGGUUUCAUUCAGAACACUGUUCCUGAUUUGAUAUCGUCUCAAAGAGGUGGAGUCCCAGCAGAAUCAUGUGGAGGAAGUCAAUCUAUUGUUCAAAAAAGGAACUCGAAAGGUGAUGGUACCCUCGAAGCAAAUGGAUGCCUGAAGGAUGGUAAAGCAAAGCAUGCUGGAUCAGCAAGUGUUUUAUGUGGCAUUGACUCUAGUAUCAAGGAUCUGUUGCCUCAAAGAAUGAGUUCAGACAAGAAGUUCAAAAAUAUUGGAAGUAGCAGUAAUUGUUGUCCUGAACAGGGAAUAUCAAGUGACUCAUCCCUGCGUGUGAUUCAGCAGGAUUCUCGCACUUGUGGCUCCAAAGGUGACCUGGAUUAUAAUCUUCCACGAGAUCUGCAAAAUGGCGAACCUUCUAAUGCAGACAAAGAGAAUAUUGAGCAAAGUCGUGAAUCUGAGUUCUCUAGUGAUACUGAUGAGUAUCACUAUGAGAGUACUGCUCUUGCUUCACAUAAAAAUGAUUUUUUGAACUUGCAAUACGCUCAGGGUGAAGAUUCUUUGGCAAUUAUUGACUGUACAGAGCUUAAUCUUUGUGUGAAGUGUAACAAGGGGGAAAAUUUAUUAGUUUGUAGUUCUGAUACUUGCUCUUUGGUGGUUCAUGAAAGUUGCUUGGUUUCUGCACCCAACUUUGAUUACAAAGGAAGCUUCUAUUGCCCCUUUUGUGCAUAUU
RNAcentral lists this unclassified non-coding RNA (829 nucleotides) under Hevea brasiliensis (rubber tree). Lineage: Eukaryota; Viridiplantae; Streptophyta; Magnoliopsida; Malpighiales; Euphorbiaceae. The record is from RNAcentral.